RNAcentral lists this ribosomal RNA (213 nucleotides) under Triticum aestivum (bread wheat). RNAcentral's name for it is "partial small subunit ribosomal RNA". Lineage: Eukaryota; Viridiplantae; Streptophyta; Magnoliopsida; Poales; Poaceae. The record is from RNAcentral.
AUGCAGGGGACUCGGGCAGGAGGCCGAGCGCUGUGGGCGUGGAGGAGGCAAGACAAGCGUGGCGGCGACCUGGGCUCGCCGGACAGCGAGGCACCAAGGGAGGUGAGCCGGAGAAGGAGGGACGACGAGGUGGAGGCAAGGUCGUUGGACGAGACGGCAAGGCAGUGGGAUGGAGCUCCGGUAGUGGGAUGGCGACGCUGUCCCACGGCUUGA